AGCUGCCGCAGGGCUGGGGGGGGCGCGUGGUGGAAGUUUCGCUGAGGGAUCGAAACUUCCUUGCACCAUCCCUGUGAGUACCUUUCCCAGACCUGAAGAAGAGCUCUCUGUAAGCUCUAAAAGCUUGUCUUUUUCACCAACAGAAGUUGGUUCAAUCCAAGAUAUUAUCUCACCACCUUGUCUCCCUAAUAUCCUGGGACCAACAUGUCUACAGCAACACUGCAAAUCUCUUAUCUCUGGCAUCUCUCAUGAGGAACACUGCCCCACCUGCAAGAGAUAAGUCUGUUUGUUGUUGGUUCAUGUGACUGUAUGGCAUUUUAUCUUUUGUGUUCUCUCUCUCUCUCUUCUGGCUGCACUAACAUUUUUUCCCUAAUUCUUGAGUUUCCCCUCCCAGAAUUCAGAUGAGUAUUAUUCAGGUCAGAGCUCAUCAAGGAACAGGUCCCUCUGGUCCCCAAUACUUGUGUCACAUGUGGCAAUGACCCCACAAGCAUUUUACUGGUUGAACAAGAAACAGGAAGGACAGGUGGUUGCAGGUGCUCACUUGCUAAUAAGCCUGAGAUUUAGGGUUGUUCUGGGGGGCAGAUAAUUUAGCCUAGUAUUUCUAAACAUCUGGAUGCUAUUCAUUAUAACAUUCCUUUCUGUUUUUCUCUUGCAGGUAGAUGCUGGGCAUGUGGGAAUUGCUACUAGGGCAUUUGCCUCUGGGACCUUUCAACCAUGGCUCACAUUAAAGUGAGAGAAGAUUUCUUUGGAGUUCAUUGUAUUAAAAGGGCAAAAGUUUCGUAUUAUUGUGGCUUUUUUAGCAGGGAAGACAUAACUAAUGUAAACCCUGGGAAGUGUUAUGAGCAUCAAAGGACUAUUUUAAACAAUGGGCCAGACAAGAAUAAACA
Molecule: long non-coding RNA, 887 nt
Filed under: Chrysemys picta bellii (western painted turtle)
Lineage: Eukaryota; Metazoa; Chordata; Testudines; Emydidae
Description: lncRNA (ENSCPBG00000016410.1)
Source: RNAcentral